Non-coding RNA from Biomphalaria pfeifferi, 214 nucleotides. Lineage: Eukaryota; Metazoa; Mollusca; Gastropoda; Planorbidae. The record is from the annotation of a GenBank genome assembly.
UGUAAUUAUCUUCUGUAAUUUAUCAGAAAGAUUUAAAAUUGAAUGUUCAAAAUAUUUUAAAACUUCAACUGCUACAAAUUAUUGUUAGUUUUAAGGAAAAGAAAAGGUUUUACUCAAAUAGUUCACUUCUUAAGUGUUGUGGAAGACAUAUUUAGUAGAACAUUUUUGCAAUGGUUACAUGAAAUUGCAAAAUAUCAUAAUGAAAAAGACAUUU